UGGCGCAAAGCUACCAUCUGUCGGCUAAUGACUGAACGCCUCUAAGUCAGAAGCCAUGGCGAGAGGAAGACUGCGUGCCUGACGCUUGUUACGCGUCUACCUAUAGCUUCGGCUAAGAGCAUACUCGAUCAUAAUUCGGAUGAGCGUCGGGUCAAAUCCCUUACAGACGAUUUGAAUAUGAAGCAGGGUGUUGUAAGUAGCAGAGUAGCCUUGCUGCUACGAUCUACUGAGACUCAGCCCUCGCUUC
RNAcentral lists this ribosomal RNA (247 nucleotides) under Chloropicon primus. RNAcentral's name for it is "partial Eukaryotic large subunit ribosomal RNA". It matches the Rfam family "Eukaryotic large subunit ribosomal RNA", at positions 3089 to 3391 of the family's 3401-position model. Lineage: Eukaryota; Viridiplantae; Chlorophyta; Chloropicophyceae; Chloropicales; Chloropicaceae. The record is from RNAcentral.